This 104-nucleotide small nuclear RNA is filed under the name Procavia capensis (Cape rock hyrax). The record is from RNAcentral. Lineage: Eukaryota; Metazoa; Chordata; Mammalia; Hyracoidea; Procaviidae.
GUGCUCGCUUCGGCAGCACGUACACUAAAAAUGGAAUGAUACAGAGAUUAGCAUGGCCCCUGCGCAAGCAUAACACACAAAUUUGUUAAGUGUUCCAUAUUUUU